Molecule: ribosomal RNA, 475 nt
Filed under: uncultured bacterium
Lineage: Bacteria
Description: bacterial SSU rRNA
Rfam family: Bacterial small subunit ribosomal RNA
Source: RNAcentral
UGAACGCUAGCGGGAGGCUUAAUACAUGCAAGUCGAGGGAGAAACCAUCUUCGGAUGGCAGAAACCGGCGAACGGGUGAGUAACGCGUACGCAACCUACCCUUAACCGGGGGAUAGCCUUGGGAAACUGAGAUUAAUACCCCAUAGUUUUCGAUUGUGGCAUCACAUACGAAAUAAAGUUCCGAUGGUUAAGGAUGGGCGUGCGUCCUAUUAGUUAGUUGGUGAGGUAACGGCUCACCAAGACAAUGAUAGGUAGGGGGCGUGAGAGCGUGAUCCCCCACACGGGUACUGAGACACGGACCCGACUCCUACGGGAGGCAGCAGUAAGGAAUAUUGGACAAUGGGCGAAAGCCUGAUCCAGCCAUCCCGCGUGCAGGAUGAAUGCCCUAUGGGUUGUAAACUGCUUUUGUUAGGGAAGAAUAAUCUCGAUUUAUUGGGAUUUGACGGUACCUUUCGAAUAAGCACCGGCUAACUCC